RNAcentral lists this ribosomal RNA (440 nucleotides) under uncultured bacterium. RNAcentral's name for it is "partial 16S ribosomal RNA". It matches the Rfam family "Bacterial small subunit ribosomal RNA", at positions 338 to 795 of the family's 1533-position model. The record is from RNAcentral.
CCUACUUUAGUCAUCAGUGGGGAAUAUUUCACAAUGGGGGAAACCCUGAUGCAGCGACGCCGCGUGAGUGAAGAAGUAUUUCGGUACGUAAAGCUCUAUCAGCAGGGAAGAAAAUGACGGUACCUGACUCAGAAGCCCCGGCUAACUACGUGCCAGCACGCGCGGUAAUACGUAGGGGGCCAGCGUUAUCCGGAUUUACUGGGUGUAAAGGGCGCGUAGACGGCAGCGCAAGUCGGGAGUGAAAUCCCAUGGCUUAACCAUGGAACUGCUUUGGAAACUGUGCAGCUAGAGUGCAGGAGAGGUAAGCGGAAUGCGUGGUGUAGCGGUGAAAUGCGGAGAUAUUAGGAGGAACACCAGUGGCGAAGGCGGCUUACUGGACUGUAACUGACGUUGAGGCUCGAAAGCGUGGGGAGCAAACAGGAUUAGAUACCCUGGUAGUC